CACAGCGGCCAUAACGCGACUCUGGAGUCGCUGCGGCCCGCCUGGCGCCCUCUGGUGGCCUAGCGACGCUUCCCCUCGGAGCGUUCCGCGGGGUCGGAAGAUCUUCUGAGGAAGAUGCUUCUUCUGGAUCACUGUCUCUUCAUGGUGCACUCAAUGUAAGACUCCAGCAGGAAGAUGGUUUCGUCCACCUGGAUUUCACUGGCAUCCAACCUGAGUGAAAAACAGGGUCUCACUCUGUCACCCAGGUUGGAGUCAGUGGCAUGAUCUCAGCUUACUGCAACCUCCGUCUCCUGGACUCAAGUGAUCCUCCCACCUCAGCCUCCUGAGGAACUGGACUACAAGCAAGAAUCAUUACAUCUGGCUAGUUUUUGUAUUUUUGGUAGAGAUGGGGUUUUGCCAUGUUGCUUAGCUGAUCUUGAACUCCUGGGUUCAUGCAAUUCACCUUCCUCAGCCUCCCAAAGUCCACCAUGCCUGGCCUCUUUUUACUUCAUCAUCAAUGCAGUUCACUGAAUAUUCAUAGAAAAAUUUAUUUAACAAUUACUUCAAUUUUCUAAAUUAUUUAGUAUAAUAAACAUUACCAAAUCUUUCUUUCCUAAGGCACCAUUCUGAUUUAUAGGUCAGGCUGCCUGACUCUAAGGAAAUAACUGGUAAGGAUACUGAUGACAUACAUUCCUCCACCACUGUCGCCAGACUUUCCAACAAACUCUAGCUAUUAAGAAAAAGAGAGAGUGUUAACUGAAUGGAAAGUCCAGUGAUUCUGUUUCCAAUGGAACAAAUCUAACCAAAAGUCUGUAGCAGGUAGCCCUCCUAUCAAAUGAUGUGGAGAAAUUGUCUGGGCUGGCUAGGUAGAGAAUAACUCUACAAGAGGAUGAUACUAGGUAUCAGUGCAGAAAUAAAUUAUCAACAGUACAGGCUAAAGAAAAAAGAAAAAAAGAAAAAACAGACUUACUGGA
Molecule: long non-coding RNA, 953 nt
Organism: Pongo pygmaeus (Bornean orangutan)
Lineage: Eukaryota; Metazoa; Chordata; Mammalia; Primates; Hominidae
Exons: 3
Source: RefSeq, a predicted model, not a curated record